CAGGUUUUAUACAUUAUUGCCAAACAUCAAUAUUUCUACUUUAAUUCCAAUACCCGACACUACCCACAACAUGUCUGCGGAGCCUCUAAAUACAACUUAAGAAUAAUAUGGAAAUGUCGGCAACAAGGCUCCGGCUAUACCUCAAAUACAAAGUACAUGAUAAACAAAUGAAACAGGACCCCGAAACGAAGUGGGGCUCACCAAGUCAGCUAAAAGGAUGAUGCGGCGCUAGCUGCGACCAACCUUGCCUGCUAUAGAAACACCUACAUCCAUUUAAAGACGUAGCGCCCCCGAUAAAAGGGACGUUAGUGCCAUCGAAUAGCACUAGUAUGUAUAACUAAAUACCAUCUCGUUAGAAAGAACAACCAUACAAGGACAAAGAAAUCAUAAAGAUUCAACAAAAGCUUUAAACAAUCACUACAUCAUCAAAUAAAAGGAAUCACAUAGCUUUCACAUAAUUUGCAUAGCUUUAGUUUGGCACUUUUAAUAUUGUUCAUCAUCAUUCACAAUUCCACCACUUUCUUGAGCAGAAUCCGAUCACGGCCUGAUCAGCUAAGCUAUCUUACAAGACGUUACGCUUAUUUCAGUCUCACUUUCCAGUUUCAAUUAUCAUUGCAUUACCACCAUGUGUGUAUAACAUGGCGUCUGAUCACGGUCCGAUCAGCUAAGCCGUCUUACAAGACGUUACCCUUUUUCGUUACCCAUCUCACUUCAAUCUUUGGUUUCACAUGUAUUAGUUCACUGGCACUUGGGGCCACAAUUAUCACAUCAUACUUGGCACUAGGCCAUAUUUCAUAACUCUCAUUCCACAUCACUUUCACUUUCAACAUCAAACUUGCAAUUUAAGAUAAUGGGCACAUAUAAGAGCAAUUCAAGUUAUAAGUAUAGAGAGGAACUCUCAUGAUUCGGCAUAAUAAUCACAAUUUAACUUGACUUUAAAUCUAGGUAAUUUAUCAUAUAGUUCAUGUUCUUCACAUAUCCCCAAUUACCAAGAAUAGCACAUUGAACACAUUCAGACACACCUUUCACAUAUAUUCUUGCAACACCAAAUCUUUUGAAAUAACAAAUACUACAUAAUUCAAAUUCCAGAAAUACAACAUAUGCAGGGACACCAUGGGAGCUCAAUUUCUAAGAAGAGGGGGUUUUAUCAAUACAUACCUUGUUUGAAUUUUCCUUAAGUUACUACGACGUUCCGUAAAUUCUAGCAAUCCCAAUCUACUUUGAGACAUAACAAAAUUGAACACAAAUUAGGAAGGUAUUCGUGGUUUCAGCUCAUUUGAGCAUUUUAUCAAAUACUAGUUGAGCAUCUUGAUUUCAAAUCUCUUUUACAAGAUUUCCUUCAUUCCUCAACCCAAUCAUUACUUAUUAUGUUCAACAAUCUUCCCACAAACCUAAUUUGUACAUGCAUGUAUACAUAAUACUAUUACACCCAAGAAUCAUACCUUAAUAACCCAUCUCACAAUCUCUACAACACCAACACAACCUAGGUUAGGCACCUAUGGCUUCCAAUCACCAUCCCUUGAGUUCUGGUGUAUAUAUCAUACAUAAAUAAUCACCAUAGAGUAGUUGGAGAUGAUAGACAUACCUCUUGUAGUAAGAAUCUUGAGAAUCCCCACUUGUAGUAUUCUUGAUCAAUUUAGGGAUUUGAAUGGGAAUCAAUGGAUUUUCAAGAUCAAUCCUUGUUAAUAUAAGUGUUUAGGAGUAGUAAUCAACUUAAAAUACUCCAAAAACAUUAUCUUGGAUCAUAGGAGGGAAUUAUGGGAUGGAUUCCCCUUGAUAGAGCAAGCCCUAGCUCAAAAGAAUGACUUAGAGACUCUUCAUACCUGGUCUAGGGGUAUUUAUAGGGCUUCUAGGCGCGCGAUCGCGGUCAAACUGCACCCGGGACGCAGUGGCCGCGCUCGUACCUCGCUCAGGCCGUGCUUGGAGGCAGAAACUUUCAGUUUUCCCGCGGCCGCGCCGCGGACGCGCGUCUGACACAGGCCCGGUAAAAUAGUCAUAUCUUUCUGUAUACACCUCCAAAUGACAAACGGUUUGAUUAGUUGGAAACUAGACUCAAAGAGCUUUAAUUUGAUAGGUUUUUCAUUGCACAACACCUUAUAUAAAUGGAGAUAUGCUUAUCCAAAGUGAGGUUUAGUGCGUACUCAUUUACAACUUUAGUCUAUUAUGAAAUUUUCCAACUUGGCUUAGACUUAGGCCUCUCCUUAGACCCCAUAUCACUUAUAAUAUGACUUAUACGCUUAUUAACAUAUCCAAUUGAUAUCCAUUAUAUCAUGAAUCCUCAUUUGCACGCGAGAUAAAAUAAUUAGCCUACCUUGGCACCACGAAAUCUUAAAUUACUUAGCAAAAUUUUCAGGGGCUUUACAUUGAUUCUUUUUUUCUUUUUCUUUUGAUGGAGUUACUAAGAAAGACUGCUCCACGUUCGAAUUCGUAGGAUUAUGAAAUAUUUUAUUUGGUAUGACCGAACCAUAAGGCUGCCUACGUAUCUUGUGGUGACAAGAAUCAGGUCAAAUGUAGUUCAAAAAGAUACUUUUUGUUGUUGCUAUUUUUCUUUUCCUUUUUCUUUUUUUCUUUUUUUUCUUUUUCCCUCCUUUUUUUUCUUUUUCUCUUUUUUCAUUUUUUAUUUUUUCUUUAUCUCUAUUUUUCUUUUCUUUUUUGAAUUUUCCUUUUGGAAUGAACUUUCUAAGAUAAACCUAUGGGACAUGAAUUCUUUUUUAUUUUGUAUAACUCUAACUUGAUUCCAAAAGAGUGGAGGUCAAAUAAAUCAGUACAGGCUCAAAAGGGGUACCAAAGGGUAUAAAGUAUUUGGAUAGCUAAAAGAGGGCCUCCCAACCCCUGAAAAUGCCAAGUACGACACAUGCAACUUGAAAUGAAAACGGAAGAGCACCGAACAUUUUUUUACAGCUUCAACAUUGAUAUCACUGAUAUGCUUUCCACCCUUUUUUUACUGCCUUGUCAAGUACAGAACUCUCAUUGGGUGAUUUCUUCUUCACGAUGGAUACCCUCUGUCUGUUUGGAGCAAACUCCCUUGAAUUUGUCUUGUAAAUUGAGGUGCACUUGAACUCAAAAUUGCUCGCUUCAAAUUGUAUGGGAUGCACUCUCCUUUAAUGAAUUCUUGUCAUCCUAUUAACUUCCCAAAUUAUCUGCCCUAAUUUCACACAGUAUGGGCUUCAAAUGAUCUCAAAAUGUCGAAAUCUGUACUUAUUUCCCUCAAGUGUCCCUAUCAUUUUUAAAAUUGUUUCAUCGUUUCAUGACUAAACUAGUUUUUAAGACCAGGUUGCGAAUUACACGUGCAUGUCAUGUCACUAGAGUCAACAGGAAUAAAACUAUAAAGAAAAAGAGAACUAAACAAAAAUUACUAGAAAUAACAGAAAAUAGAAAAUUGCAUUAGACAGACAGUGAAACGGUUCGAACAACAAAUCAACCAAACUAAACUGGGGUUAUAAUCCUGGAACAAACCUACAUAACAUUAAACGAGUUACUACGACUAAUUGAGCUAGGAAAAAUAAAAGGAUAGAAGGGUUUGAGUCUUAAGACAAUAUCCAGAUUACAACCCUGAAAUAACCCAGACAACAGAAAUGAUAACAAAAUAAACCACCAGAAACUCCUCCCUGACUAGCCAAGAAAGGAGCAUCUUUCCAAUCACCAAGCUCAACAUCUUAGUCACUGAGUUCUUCAUCAACAGUACUAGGACCUUCACAUGUCUUCAUCGUAUUGUCCUUAGAAAAUUGCUUUUGGGUCCCUUUUGCCGGCUCGUUCUUAGGAUCAACUUCCGAAACCAAGAGUGAUAGCGCUGAAAGCUUUGCGGCCAGUGGCCUUUUGAGGAUCUCAAAAGAAUUCUAAUAUUCUUUUUCAAUACAAAUCAUACCCACCAUAUGCGUCUCAUUAUGAACAGGCGAUGGACUUUGGCUAGUGUCUACUGCAUUUGAAUUUUGCACGACAAUGUCACCUGCAUUAAUAAGCUUCUGAACUUCUCUUUUCAGAUGCCAACACUUUUGCGUGUUGUGACCCAGGGCAUUAGAGCAAUAUGCACACCUUUGAGAAUAAUCAAAAUUCUUUGGACGAGGGUUUGACAUUUUUAUCUGAACCGGUUUUAGCAUGUCCAGUUGCCUCAAUUUUUGGAAUAAACUGGCAUAUGAUUCUCCAAUAGGAGUGAAAGUCUUUUCUUUUUUCUAUUGCCUUUUGAUUUUGUACUCUUUCCUCAGUUGGAACCUUUUGCAGGUAGGUGGUUGAGAUGUUUGAGGAGGCGGGUAAGAUAUUUGCAAAAAUAGUGCAGGCCAUCGCGGGUCCUAUGGAUGUGGAGCAUAUAGUGGUGCUUUGUGGACGGAGUACAGGGAAGGUGAUGUACGACUUUGGGGGUUUUGUGGAGAGAAUUAGAAUUGGGGAGGAUUACAAGGAUAUCCAUGGGGUCGGUAUCGAGGUUGAAAGCGUUGAGCAGGAAUGCCCACCGGAUCUUGUCGUUGGCGCGGCUCAACAAAAUCUUUUCUAUUUCUCUUUCUUUUAGCCAAACUUACUGAGAUGUUCUGAAUGUCUUCUGUAGUAUCUUUCAAUGCCGAAUAACUCAUGAUUUUGCCUGACUUGAUUCCCUCUUCUACCACCUCCCCUAUUUUUACCACAUUAUUGAAAGGUUUACCCAAGGUCGGGAUCAAAUGACUGAAGUAGGUGGGCCCCUGGGAUUGUAGGAAAAGCUCAACCAUUUCUUCUUCACCAAUCGGGGGACUGACUCGAGCAGCAUGUUCCCUCCAUCUGAGCUCAAACUCCCUAAAGCUUUCCUCCGAUUUCUUUUCCAUCUUAGAUAGGGAGGAGGGGUCUGGGGUAAUUUCUAUAUUGUAUUGAAAGUGUCAAACAAAAUCUUGAGACAUGUCAUGCCAUGUAUGUCACUUACUGACAUCUUGACGUGUAUGUCAUUCUAAGGCUGCCCCAGUCAAGCUCUCACUGAAAUAUGUCAUCAACAAAUCAUCUUUCCUGUUAGCACUUCUCAUUUCACUGCAAUAACCCCUCAGAUAGGCCACUGGAUCUCCACGCCCAUCAUACAAGUUAUACUUUGGCAUUUUAAACCCCGCGGGCAGAUGAACAUCAGGGAACAUACACAAGUCAUUGUAAAACAUGUUAAUGUGAUUUCCCAUCCCUUACAUGCUCCUUAAGGACUCUUCUAUACCUUUCAGCUUCCUGGAUAUCUCAUCUCGCCCUUCUUUUCCUGUGAAUUUUUCAUUUUCAACAUAAGGCUCAUUCCGAGCGUUCUGAUUGUAUAAGUCAGGAACCUUGUGGGCAACCUCUGAGGGGUAAUAUUGGAAAUCAUAAGCUUUGAGUGGGUGUUCAUUGUUGGAUAUAUGAAGGGAAGAUUGUUGAGAAGUUGUGAUUAUGGGGAUAGUGGAUAUGACAGGAGGGCAAUUUUGGGAAAAGGUAAUUGCAGGACGAGUGAUGGAGCUACUAGGUUGGUUGGGAAAGCUGUGAUAAGCGGGUGGAUCUGGAGGGUAUGGGGGAUCAUCUGGCACCAUGACCGGAGUUUGGGUAAGGGUAGCAUCUAAGAAGCUAGGUGGUGGCGGGGGUGGUGCCUUCCCAGUCAUCCAAGCCUAAUACAUGUUUGUCAUGUGUUUUCUUAACAUCCUUACCUCUUCAACCAACCCGUUGCCCUGUUCAACCAAUUGCUUUUGGGCACCAGUAUCAACCGACCCAAUUCCGUUGCCGUCUGCCAUUGCCUUUCGACCUUAUGUUGUAGAGAAGAGUUACCACUUUAAGAACUACAAACCAACCACCCUUCUGCUAUAAUGAAGAUAACAAAAGGAAUAAAAUGAAGUCAUCACGUUAGUGUUAGAGCAUUUAACAUAAGAUAAUCUCACAUUAUGUGCAAUGCACUUAGUCACAAUUAAUGGUUCAAGAAUGACUUCGAGGGUCACAAGGCCACUUGACAUCAUCCCAAUUUGUCCAUUUGAAUGUUCUCUUUUCUUUUCUUUUCUAGCACUUCUUGGCUUACUCAUUUUCCUUCCCUUUUUUUUUUCUAAUUAUCACUUUUUUCUUUCCGCUCAUUUCUCACAUCCCAUAAUUUCAUCUUUUCUUUUAUCUUUUUUUUUCUUCUUUUGUUUUAAACUAAAAAAAUGAUUCGAUCAAACCCUAUGUAGGUUGCCUAUGUAUCAUGACGCCGCAUGAAUCAGAUCUUAUCGUAGUUCGGGAAAAUCGGGAAUAAAGUAAACAAACUAACGUUCUCAGUUUCUAUUUCUUUUUUUUUCUUUUUACCUUAAUGACUACUCUAAUGGGAAAAGAAAAAUAAAAGAAGCAAAUUCUUUUUUUUAAUUUUCUAGACUUAAUAUUUUAUAACCUAUUAUAAAUUCAAGCUUAAUGAGCAUAUUUGUUUUCUCUCCUUUUUUUAUUUUUGAAACAAAUACUAUAUGGGAAAUUAUUAAGGAAAAACCCCAAGAAGAGAAAAAUAUUUUUUGAUUGUUUUUUUAGGAAGGAAAUCUAAAGAAUAAACCAAAGAAAAUAUUUUGAAUUUUCAUUUGAUAUCCCUGAAGAAGUAUUUCGAAAUGAUAAAUGAACAAGAUAAAAAAAUAUUUUUGGAUUUCAGUUUUUGAUUACCUAAGGAAGAAACUUUAAAUAUAAAUAAAAGAUAAAGUAUGUUUUUUUUCUUUUAUGUACAAUAUCCUAAAGUUCUAAUGAAAAUAAAAAGAAUUUUUUUUUAUUUUUCAUUAAUUUCCCAAAGAAGAACCUCAAAAGAAAAUUGUUUUUGGAUUUUUGGAAUUAAUACCUUAAAGAAAACUUUUUAAAGAGGUGCUAAAAGAAAAUUCUUUUUUUUUUUUUUUUGGAAUUUUUUAGUCUUAAUGUACUAAAGCAGAUUAUUAAAGCAAUUUUUAUUUUGAGUUCUAGAUAUUAAUUUCCUAAGAAAAACCACAAAAGAAUUUUUUGAACAUCAUAGAGUUAGUAUUCUAAAGAAAACAUCUAACAGAAAUAUAAAACGCAAAUUUUUUUUUUUUUUAUGGAUUUUUGAGUUUUAAAACAUUUUUUCAAAUACAAAAUAGAAAGUACAAUAACAAAAGACUCGACAUUACUGUACAAAACUAGAAAAAAAAGAUGACAUAAAAUGAAAAACGGACUCAAAACAUAACAAAAUAAAAAAAAUAUCUUUAAGCUAUUCCUGAAUGAGCGAUCCUAACUAGAUGGUCCCGGGGUGUCUGUCGUGCUCAAACUCCGAUAAAUAGACCCACACCUGUAUUAGAAAAUUAAGAUCAAAUAAAGUUAAGGACCUAAACUCUUUUUGGAUUUUCUUUUACCUCUUUUUUUUCGAAAAAUGAUGAAAAAGUGCAAAAUCCUUUUUUUUAUUGAAUUUUUCAUGUUUUUUUUUUUGUCUUUUUCUUAACAAAACGUGACAGAAAAAAUAAUUGUGCCCUACUUGCUUUAUUUUCACAAUUCACCCUCUUUUCUUCCUCAUUUACCCUCAGUCAUCAUUGGUCCACCAAAUGACCCUUUUACCCUGGAAGAAAUGUAGUAUGUAGCACAUAGGAUGCAUCAGGAUGGUCUUUUAUUUUUGGGUACACCUGUCAUAGACGGACCAACCCUUGUAUUGAGUCCUCAAAGUCAAAUGCACGUGAUUCAAACAAAUGUUCCUACUAGGGAUCCGGCAUGAGGCUGUGUUUUUCUAGGUUUUAAAACCUGGAGUUGUGUUCUUGACCUGGCUUACCCGAGCGGACAACUCGAGCCAAAGAGGGGGCAACGUACCGGGAGCACUGAAGUUUAUCCAGCCUUGUUGCUGGCCUAGCCUUGUUCUAUUUGGUAUAACUCCUACAGAAAAAGCGGGUCGCCCGAACAUGUGCACCAUUUUUAGAAGACUUAGAGAGGUGGCAUAAGAAGACAGUUAUGUACAAUUCAAAUAAUAUCAAAGUGGUAAACAGACAACAGUUAGCACAAAACGUUCACAAAAUACAGUAAUAUCAACAAUAAAUAAAGCUAAGUAAAAAUAAUAUUAACAAGCUCGAAUUCUUGAACCUGAAUUAGAGAUUCUGGGUAGUUGUCUCCUACAGAGUCGCCAGAGUUGUCACACCUCCUCUUUAUCACCCCGAGAGGAGGUACUAGGGAGUUUUUUCCAAUUUAAGUGACAAUCGAAACGGGAUCAUUUAUAUUAAAUUCAGAGUCGCCACUUGGGAUAAUUUAUGGUAUCCCAAGUCACAGGUUUAAAAUUCCGAAUUAAGGAAGUUGACUCUAUUUACGGUCCACGAACACAGAAAUUCGGGUAAGGAAUUUUGUUAACCUAAGAGAAGGUGUUAGGCAUUCCCGAGUUCCGUGGUUCUAGCACGGUCGCUUUGAUCAUACUUGGCUUAUUAAAAUUGUUUAACUACUGAUUUUAGAACCUAUGUGCAUUUGCCUCUUUUAAUUAAGAAAUUAUCUUUAAACAAGUCACGCGUACGUUUACCCAUUUGUUUGGCGCGUCAAAAAUCAUGUCAUGUGAACGUGUCCACAAGUAAUAACGCUUUAUUAUUUUUAUGAAAGUUUGGCCAAAGUUGCGCGAACGCAUGCUCCGGUUUUGUUUUUAGAAUCAAAAUUACGUCACGCGAACGUGUACGCAACUACGAUGGUAUUUUAGAUGUGCCUAAAGCAAACUACGAACAUUUGUCAUUUUUAUAUCUAGGUUAUGAAAUUAAUACGAGGGUCAUGUAUGAUUAAAUCAUGGAUGGCAUACUUCGGACUAUAUAAACUAAAUUUAAAUUAGCGACCUAUUAAAACAAUUUUAUUAUUAAGAAAGUUUGAUCGAUGUUGCGCGAACGCAUACUCCGAAUUAGUUUGUAGAAUCUUAAUUAUGUCACGCGAACGUGUACACAAUCACAAAAGAACUUAUUAAUCAUUAUUAAGAUUGUUGCGCCUAAUUUAGUCAUUAGAAACAUUUCAAUUCAAUCAUCCACACAAACAUAUAAAAUAGAUAACCAAGCAAAGAAGAACAAAGAUAAUCCAAAGUAAGUGAAAUACGAAAGUUACGAACAAUAAAAUAAGAGAACAUAUGACCAGAACUAACAUGUAUUUUGAAGGAGAAGGAUAUUCUUCUUUUUUUUUUUUUUAAACUAAUCACUACGAAAGAACCUUUAAAAUACGAUUAAGGAAGAGCAAUGUAAUGCUGGGUAUUCCAUUUUGAGAGCUUUAAACUAUUUGAUAAGAGCAAAUUCACAAUUGAGAAAUAAAACCAAGUUUAACUCCAUGAACGAAACAGACUCCAUGGCACUUAAUUUGAACUCAAGAUUUCACUGAUUGUCCAUCAACUUUCAAGCAAAGCACAAUUUACUCAUCACUCUUAAUGAGGCCAAAUAAACUUUUUGAAUACAUUCUUCACAUGGAAUUAGACUAGACAAGUAUAGGAAGGAAUAAAAUCUUACCCAAACACAUGCUCCUAAAUAGUCGAGCAACUGGUUCUCAUCACAACAAUACUACGACAAGAAGGGAUCCAAACAAUUUGAACAGUAAUUCAUUCGGGAACGAACAAUCAGCAACGAAUUUUAGCACACCCCAACUACGAAUUUAAAAUUGAUUGAUUGAAUUUUAAGAAAAGACAGGAGUAAAAUCUGACCUCAGAUCUGAAAUCCAAUACGAAAAUUGAAACAAUUUCGAGCAAAGAAUCGCAACCAAGACUCAACGAAGGACCUCGACUCUCCAACGAUGACUGAAGUUGACAACUACUGCUGCUGGAAUCUCAUAUUAGAUCCCAAAAUCGGCACAAAUCGAAGAUGGCGCCAGCAACCUCGAUGAAUCUCGACCAACAAUUGAUGAGAUAUCACCGAAAAUAAAAUCCCACGAACAAAAGAUUGACUGAAGGGCUGAAAUUCGUGAAGCUGUUAUUUGGUGGUUAUUUCAGAUGCGUUCAUGGUGUUCAACAACAGCUGAUUGCUGGCUGGAAUUGGAGGAGGUCAUCACCGGCAAGAUGAAGAAGAAGAAAGUGGUCAGCGGCGGCGAUGGUUGGUGUCUGGUCGCUGCUGCCCUUCGUUGAAGAAGAUGGGUUUCCUUGGUUUAUUGUUGAGGAAGAAGCAUAACGGAUCCUUAAGGGUCUUAGGUUUAGGUUACUUUUUCCAUGAAGGAGAUGAAACCCAAGGUUUUUGGACUCUCAAGCAGAUGAACGAAAAUCUGAUGGGAUCGUCCUUUUUCUCAAAAAUGGCGGAUUGGAUUUUUAGGCAUCUAGGUCUUGUGCUAGCUCUAGGUUUUGGAUUUUAGGUAUUUUAGGCUCAUCUGCUGGUUAUAUAGAAAGAGUUUUUAGGUUAAGGAGUUAUGGAUUUGGUAUUAUUGGGCC
RNAcentral lists this long non-coding RNA (10255 nucleotides) under Nicotiana tabacum (common tobacco). RNAcentral's name for it is "long non-coding RNA (NTAB_LNC002568)". The record is from RNAcentral. Lineage: Eukaryota; Viridiplantae; Streptophyta; Magnoliopsida; Solanales; Solanaceae.